CCUCCCGAGUGCUUGCACUCAAUUGGAAAGAGGAGUGGCGGACGGGUGAGUAACACGUGGGUAACCUACCCAUCAGAGGGGGAUAACACUUGGAAACAGGUGCUAAUACCGCAUAACAGUUUAUGCCGCAUGGCAUAAGAGUGAAAGGCGCUUUCGGGUGUCGCUGAUGGAUGGACCCGCGGUGCAUUAGCUAGUUGGUGAGGUAACGGCUCACCAAGGCCACGAUGCAUAGCCGACCUGAGAGGGUGAUCGGCCACACUGGGACUGAGACACGGCCCAGACUCCUACGGGAGGCAGCAGUAGGGAAUCUUCGGCAAUGGACGAAAGUCUGACCGAGCAACGCCGCGUGUGUGAAGAAGGUUUUCGGAUCGUAAAACUCUGUUGUUAGAGAAGAACAAGGACGUUAGUAACUGAACGUCCCCUGACGGUAUCUAACCAGAAAGCCACGGCUAACUACGUGCCAGCAGCCGCGGUAAUACGUAGGUGGCAAGCGUUGUCCGGAUUUAUUGGGCGUAAAGCGAGCGCAGGCGGUUUCUUAAGUCUGAUGUGAAAGCCCCCGGCUCAACCGGGGAGGGUCAUUGGAAACUGGGAGACUUGAGUGCAGAAGAGGAGAGUGGAAUUCCAUGUGUAGCGGUGAAAUGCGUAGAUAUAUGGAGGAACACCAGUGGCGAAGGCGGCUCUCUGGUCUGUAACUG
RNAcentral lists this ribosomal RNA (695 nucleotides) under Salmonella enterica subsp. enterica serovar Saintpaul. RNAcentral describes it as "bacterial SSU rRNA". It matches the Rfam family "Bacterial small subunit ribosomal RNA", at positions 68 to 742 of the family's 1533-position model. Lineage: Bacteria; Pseudomonadati; Pseudomonadota; Gammaproteobacteria; Enterobacterales; Enterobacteriaceae. The record is from RNAcentral.